Molecule: long non-coding RNA, 1052 nt
Filed under: Equus asinus (donkey)
Lineage: Eukaryota; Metazoa; Chordata; Mammalia; Perissodactyla; Equidae
Description: lncRNA (ENSEASG00005034915.1)
Source: RNAcentral
CUGGGGACCACCCUUUCACACAUUGUUCUAUACAAAUAUAUACAUAAUUUAGCAAAAAUGAAAUCAUAUUUACAGACUGUUUUUAUUGUGCCUAAGUUCAACAGCAUCAAAAGCAUUUUUAGGUACUUCAGGCGGCUGUAAACUAAAAAUAAUCAUUUUUGUCAGAUACUGUAUCAUCUUUAUACACAUAUAUUUCAACCUCAUGAAUGUUCAUUACGUUUUUAAAUGUUUUGUCCAUGCUGGCGAACCUUAGAUGGACUCUGCUUUAAAUAAGUGCUUCUCACAGUGAAAUGCACAAUAUCUUAAUAUUAAUCAUUAUCAAGGUAUAUCUCAUUAAUAAUGUACAUUUCACAGUGCCAAGCGAGAAUGACCUCAUUACUCUAAAGGAUUCCUGGAAGUCUGAGUCACAAGCAUAAGUGACAAGAGCUACAGGGUUGGGCUGUGGUGGUUGUGGAGACUUCCUGGCUGAAACAGGGACUGGACUACAAAGACAUGUUAGGGCAGACAGCUUAGGACUUACAUGGUGACACAAUGAUGCCAUAAAGGAUCCAGCCUCUUUCCAUUCUGCCAUCCUCGCUCUGCCAUCCUCGGCAUGUAGACCUUUGUUCUCCUGUUUAUUGCUUAUGACUGAACUUCGGCUGCUGUACCUCUGGCAUCACCUUCCUCCAGGAAGAAAGACAGGUGGAGGGCAAGGAUGAGCUCUGGUCUGCAGAACAUGUCCAUCUAACAGCUUUCCUGGAAGCCCCAGUAGCAACUUCAACUGGGUUUCAACUUCAUUUCACUGGCUAGAACUAUGUCAAAUGGCGCUCCUGGAUUGGUACCCCACGGUCUGUGCGCCAAAGCUCCUGGCAGCGUGCUUUGCAGACAGUCGGCACAAGAAACUGUGAGAAGUUUGCUUCAGCAUUAGGAAGGACACUAACUUGUGCAGAAACAACUCCAAGGAUGGAGGAACACUUUGCAAAUCUUCAGGGCUUAAAGGGGACGCAGACCUUCCGCACAACAACAACAAAACCAGCGCGCUCGCGGCCGGCGCCUCGGCUCUGGUCCCCGCC